CAUGCAAGUCGAGCGGUAGAGAGAAGCUUGCUUCUCUUGAGAGCGGCGGACGGGUGAGUAAUGCCUAGGAAUCUGCCUGGUAGUGGGGGAUAACGUUCGGAAACGGACGCUAAUACCGCAUACGUCCUACGGGAGAAAGCAGGGGACCUUCGGGCCUUGCGCUAUCAGAUGAGCCUAGGUCGGAUUAGCUAGUUGGUGGGGUAAUGGCUCACCAAGGCGACGAUCCGUAACUGGUCUGAGAGGAUGAUCAGUCACACUGGAACUGAGACACGGUCCAGACUCCUACGGGAGGCAGCAGUGGGGAAUAUUGGACAAUGGGCGAAAGCCUGAUCCAGCCAUGCCGCGUGUGUGAAGAAGGUCUUCGGAUUGUAAAGCACUUUAAGUUGGGAGGAAGGGUUGUAGAUUAAUACUCUGCAAUUUUGACGUUACCGACAGAAUAAGCACCGGCUAACUCUGUGCCAGCAGCCGCGGUAAUACAGAGGGUGCAAGCGUUAAUCGGAAUUACUGGGCGUAAAGCGCGCGUAGGUGGUUUGUUAAGUUGGAUGUGAAAUCCCCGGGCUCAACCUGGGAACUGCAUUCAAAACUGACUGACUAGAGUAUGGUAGAGGGUGGUGGAAUUUCCUGUGUAGCGGUGAAAUGCGUAGAUAUAGGAAGGAACACCAGUGGCGAAGGCGACCACCUGGACUAAUACUGACACUGAGGUGCGAAAGCGUGGGGAGCAAACAGGAUUAGAUACCCUGGUAGUCCACGCCGUAAACGAUGUCAACUAGCCGUUGGAAGCCUUGAGCUUUUAGUGGCGCAGCUAACGCAUUAAGUUGACCGCCUGGGGAGUACGGCCG
RNAcentral lists this ribosomal RNA (839 nucleotides) under Pseudomonas sp. S3X. Its description in RNAcentral is "bacterial SSU rRNA". It matches the Rfam family "Bacterial small subunit ribosomal RNA", at positions 54 to 888 of the family's 1533-position model. Lineage: Bacteria; Pseudomonadati; Pseudomonadota; Gammaproteobacteria; Pseudomonadales; Pseudomonadaceae. The record is from RNAcentral.